GGUUUGAGUAAAAAGAGUGACGAAUGGAGAACUAGGGUGCACUAAAGAGGACGGAGCCCCCCGAAAUGGCGGAGGAGAGACUUUGAAGCCCUAAUGUCCUGCGCGGCAACGCAGCGGGGGGGCCAGGGGAGCGAAACAUCCCAGUACCGGGCCCCCCACCCCCUCCCCACCCCAUAGUGGGUGUUUCGGGGGGGGCACAAUAAAAAUCAAACGAGAUUCCGCAAGUGGCGGCGAGCGAAAGCGGACGGGCCCUUUCCCGUAGGCCCCCCGGCUCAGCCGGGGGGCGGGGGUCGCCCACCCAGGGGCGGGCGAGUAGUGAUGGGAAGAUGGGUGGCCACACAUCCAAGGCUUAAUAACUAGUGUCACACCGAAAGAGGGGAGUACUGUGAAGGAAAGUUGAAAGAGACUUGAAAAGACCUUGAAAUGAGUCACUUAAAGCAGUUGUAACACAACGUACCUUUUGUAUAAUGGGUCCACGAGAUAAAAUUUGGCAAACUUAAAGUGCAAUCUUUGAUUAAGAUUCCUGGCCCCUAAGGUGUAGUGAAAGCAAGGGGGGGGAUACCCCCACCCCUCAGUCAAAUUUCCCGAAACCAAGUGAUCUAGCCAUGGGCAGUUUUUAGGAACGAACCGGUGGUUGUUGCAAAAACCUCGGACGACCUGUGGUUAGGGGCGAAACGCCAAUCGAACUUGGAGAUAGCUGGUUUUCUGCGAAAACUAUUGAAGUAGUGCGUCCACAAUUCAAGGAUAAUCAAGUCUUAGACUGGCGUGGCCCACGGCCGCCAGAUUUGCAUUAUCCAAUGAGAAUGGCUUGGAAUGCGGUAAAGCCCGACCCCCCGAAGCCGGGGGAUUAACUAUGAAGAAAACAAGCCAGAGUGGGACAGACAGACUGUGGGCGAUAAGGUCGACGGUCUAAAGGGGAGAAGCCCUAACCAGAAGUUAAAGUCAUUAAUAAAAUUCCCACCAUCCCUCAGGAUGGUGGCUAGUAUAAAUUUAGUGUAAAAGAGAUAUUGGGUUUAGACAAUGGAGAAGUGGGCUUGGAGCCAGCCACCUUUGAGAGAUGACGUAGCAGUUCACUCAAGAAAUUCUUUUAUCUCUAAAAUUAUGGUGGCUAAAGUUGAACUGAAACUCUGGGGGCGAAAUAACAAGGUGGGGUCCGGGGGGACCCAACCCCCGCCCUUCGUUAUGUUUGUCCGGUAGCAGAACGUACUGUUAAUUGUUCAGUGAGAGCCCCACACGGCAUCAGAAGUGAUAAUGUGGACAUGAGUAAAAAAUCAUAGGAUCACUCCCCCCCUGGUUUCCCAUAUUAGUUAUGGGGUUAAACAGCCCCUAAAAUUGCAGCCCCAAAGGUUGCGUUAAUGGGGUGCCAUGAGUAAUAGACGCACAAAGUGCCAGGAAAGAAUUAUUCAAGGGCAUCGGUAAAUCGAAGGUGAUAACCAUCGCGAGGGAUGGUGGUCACCAUCUUUCGGCGCCGCACUGUACUAAACUAACUAAAGUGGGGGAUAGUGAGGGGAUAAAUUUCCUUAAGGAACUCGGCAAAAAUCCCAAUGGCCCACCAGGGCAUAAAUUGGAACACGGGCCUCGACUGUUUACCAAAAACAUAGCCCUCGGCCAAUAUGAAAAUAGAAGUAUGGAGGGUGAGGCCUGCCCAAUGGUUGUAUCUAAAAGCGGUUGAUAAAAGUCGACCGCGUAAGGACAAUUGAAUGGCCGCGGUAACACUGACCGUGAUAAUGUAGCGUAAUCAAUAGCCAAUUAAUUGUUGGCCAGUAUGAAUGGCGCCACGAAGGCCCCACUGUCUUAAGGAAAUUCCCAGUGAAAUUGAAUUCGUAGUGAAGAUGCUACGUCCAAUUUGUUAGACGAAAAGACCCCGUUGAGCUUUACUGGGGCACUUACACGGCCCCGGCCUUCAAGACUGGGUUGAUAAGCCAAGGCUUACCAUACCUAGGGACCGGCCGAAUUUAAAUGGGUGGCUUAGACUAUGUGGCAGCCCCCCCCGUCGGGGCAGAUGAAACCCCACUCCCCCAUGUCAAAGGGGCUAACCCCCCCCCCUUGGGGGGGGACAAUGUAAGUAGGACAGUUUGGUUGGGGCGACCGCCUUUUAGAAAGUAACGAAGGUGCGCUUAAGGUGCGUAAUUAAUGACUGAAGCCUGACUGCGAGGGGGAUACCCCGAGCAGACACCCCCAAGCCCGCCCGAGAAGGCUUUGCCUUCUGGGCGGCGGUGGGGUGGGCCAUAGUGACCCGUUAAUUUAGAGUGGAAUAGUUAACGAUCAACGAAUAAAAGUUACCACGGGGAUAACAGCGUAAUAUCGUUAGAGAGUUCACAUCGACGACGAUGUUUGCGACCUCGAUGUUGAAUUGCGGCAUCCUGGGGUGCAGCCGCUCCCAAGGGUUGGUCUGUUCGUCCAUUAAAGCCGUACAUGAUUUGAGUUAAAAGCGUGGUAACACAGCUUGGUUUCUAUCUACAAAUUGAAGAAACAUCGAUAUAACUAUCUUCUAGUACGAAAGGACCGAAGGAUUAGUGAUCCUCUUGUUUAUUAUAAGUUACGAUCAACCCAUUGACCUCAACCCCUCCCCCUCCCGGGGGGGGCGAGGGGUCUCUCAGCUAAUCACUGACCGCUUCUAAAGUGGGAAAGUCAUAUCGAAAUGUUUGGGCCCAUUAUAGGGGGGCUAAAACCCCCACCAUCACGAGUGAUGGUGGCCAGCCCUCGUGCUGGGAUUA
RNAcentral lists this ribosomal RNA (2717 nucleotides) under Umimayanthus nakama. RNAcentral's name for it is "16S ribosomal RNA". It matches the Rfam family "Bacterial large subunit ribosomal RNA". Lineage: Eukaryota; Metazoa; Cnidaria; Anthozoa; Zoantharia; Parazoanthidae. The record is from RNAcentral.